UCAACGCUGUUGAGCUCGACUGGCAGUUCAUCACGCGAGCGAAAGCGAGCAGACUGUAGCUAAUUCUUGAUUCCACAAUGGAAACAGUGAUCUAAUGAAACGCAUGGUCGAGGAGGAAUCUGUCAGGAAGAAUCGGAAAUCGGAGAAGUGCCAACUGAAAUAAGCCGGCCAGGAGGAGCCUAGGUGACAGAUAUAACGACCAGUUGCGGUUGCCAGUGGGUAUUUUUUAACUCAUCCGUGGUUCUUCUAGUCGAAGGAGUUUUUACAGUUGAAUUCAAGAAAACAAACGCACCAGCGCGGCUUCUGCGACAACAACUUUGAUCGCAUGUAUUGCUUUACUUGCUCCAUCCGAUGACUGGCAAAAGCGCCCAGAAGACGGCAAAUACCCAGAUGAACGUGAUAUAGAUGACGUAACGGCGAUGUAAACGAUCUGCGGAAAAAUGGCUGUUAGUGAUGUGUUUAGUUGAGCAAAGUUAACCACCGUAUGGAUGGGAAACCCAAGAAGCAAGAUGCAAAUGUCAGAGACCGUGAGGUUCAACAAAAC
This 544-nucleotide long non-coding RNA is filed under the name Varroa destructor (honeybee mite). Its description in RNAcentral is "uncharacterized LOC111253611, transcript variant X2". Lineage: Eukaryota; Metazoa; Arthropoda; Arachnida; Mesostigmata; Varroidae. The record is from RNAcentral.